This 1297-nucleotide ribosomal RNA is filed under the name metagenome. RNAcentral's name for it is "bacterial SSU rRNA". It matches the Rfam family "Bacterial small subunit ribosomal RNA", at positions 209 to 1498 of the family's 1533-position model. The record is from RNAcentral.
GGCCUUGCGCUCUUUGAGCGGCCGAUGUCAGAUUAGCUAGUUGGUGAGGUAACGGCUUACCAAGGCGACGAUCUGUAGCGGGUCUGAGAGGAUGAUCCGCCACACUGGAACUGAGACACGGUCCAGACUCCUACGGGAGGCAGCAGUGGGGAAUUUUGGACAAUGGGGGCAACCCCGAUCCAGCCAUGCCGCGUGAGUGAAGAAGGCCUUCGGGUUGUAAAGCUCUUUCGGCCGGGAAGAAAUCGCAUGGGCCAAUACCCUGUGUGGAUGACGGUACCGGAAUAAGAAGCACCGGCUAACUACGUGCCAGCAGCCGCGGUAAUACGUAGGGUGCGAGCGUUAAUCGGAAUUACUGGGCGUAAAGCGUGCGCAGGCGGUUUUGUAAGACAGGCGUGAAAUCCCCGGGCUCAACCUGGGAACUGCGUUUGUGACUGCAAGGCUAGAGUACGGCAGAGGGGGGUGGAAUUCCACGUGUAGCAGUGAAAUGCGUAGAGAUGUGGAGGAACACCAAUGGCGAAGGCAGCCCCCUGGGUCGAUACUGACGCUCAUGCACGAAAGCGUGGGUAGCAAACAGGAUUAGAUACCCUGGUAGUCCACGCCCUAAACUAUGUCAACUAGGUGUUGGGUGGGUAAAACCAUUUAGUACCGUAGCUAACGCGUGAAGUUGACCGCCUGGGGAGUACGGCCGCAAGGUUAAAACUCAAAGGAAUUGACGGGGACCCGCACAAGCGGUGGAUGAUGUGGAUUAAUUCGAUGCAACGCGAAAAACCUUACCUACCCUUGACAUGCCAGGAACUUGCCAGAGAUGGCUUGGUGCCCGAAAGGGAGCCUGGACACAGGUGCUGCAUGGCUGUCGUCAGCUCGUGUCGUGAGAUGUUGGGUUAAGUCCCGCAACGAGCGCAACCCUUGUCGUUAAUUGCCAUCAUUUAGUUGGGCACUUUAGCGAGACUGCCGGUGACAAACCGGAGGAAGGUGGGGAUGACGUCAAGUCCUCAUGGCCCUUAUGGGUAGGGCUUCACACGUCAUACAAUGGUCGUACAAAGGGUCGCCAAGCCGCGAGGUGGAGCCAAUCCCAGAAAGCCGAUCGUAGUCCGGAUUGCAGGCUGCAACUCGCCUGCAUGAAGUCGGAAUCGCUAGUAAUCGUGGAUCAGCAUGUCACGGUGAAUACGUUCCCGGGUCUUGUACACACCGCCCGUCACACCAUGGGAGCGGGUUCCGCCAGAAGUAGGUAGCCUAACCGUAAGGAGGGCGCUUACCACGGCGGGGUUCGUGACUGGGGUGAAGUCGUAACAAGGUA